AAAAACAUGGCCCUCCGCAUAUGCUCAUACCUCUGAGUAUAAUAUUCACGGGAGGUCACACCUGCACAAUGGCCUACGGGUUCAAUUGCCGCGGUAACCUGACCGUGCAAAGGUAGCGUAAUCAAUAGCCUAUUAAUUGUUGGCCUGUAUGAAUGGUACGACGCUGGUGGUGCUGUCUCAGUUGCAUUUAUUUGAACUUAACUUCCGGGUGAAAAGGCCCAGAUAAAUCUGAAAGACGAUUAGACCCUAUCGAACUUUAGGUAGAUCAGCUGUCAAGACACCCAGUAAGGGUAGAGCCUGCCUGCUGCUUAAACCUUUGGUUGGGGUAACCGGGGGUUAAAAAAACCGCCCCCCUCCUUUGAAAGUAGACACCCGCAUGAUGAAGGUAGUAAAGAUUUUACCUCCAGGGCAAUUGGCCUUCAGGAAAGUACCACCUUUUAUAAAUUAGGAAAGUCUGACAAGACAUAACUUACUUAUAGAAUGAACCUAAAGAACUGUUUGCUAUCAGUCAACUGUUAAUAGGGAAGAGUUACCGUAGGGAU
This 542-nucleotide ribosomal RNA is filed under the name Lottia cf. borealis 3-19_T. Its description in RNAcentral is "partial large subunit ribosomal RNA". It matches the Rfam family "Archaeal large subunit ribosomal RNA", at positions 1901 to 2544 of the family's 2987-position model. The record is from RNAcentral. Lineage: Eukaryota; Metazoa; Mollusca; Gastropoda; Lottiidae.